GAUGCUGCAGGACCUGUCAUCCGCUCUUUCAUUUCUUAACCGUAGAGUUGGCAACCAGAUUUACACACGUAAGUUGGCAACCGGCAUACCCGGGUAUUCCACUCGUUUUGAUGCAAAAAAUUAACGAUUUUCAUAGGUAAACAAUGCUUUAUAUAUUUUAAUGCUGUAAGCAAGUAGUGCCGACCAUAUAUUCUCUUCUAUUUCAUUUAUUCAUUAAGUUUUUUUCAUUUUAUUAUAAAAAUAACGGUCAAAUUGAAAUUUGGAAUCGCUUGAAUUUGACUCGAAAAUUGGCACAAUACGAAAAGAAGAAGAAGAGAAACGUCAUUCUCCAUAUAUGGAAUACCCGGGUAUGCUGGUUGCCAACUUACGUGGUAAAGUUAAAAAAAAUUCAAAAUAUAAUACUUACAGGCUGUUUAAAAUUACAACUUAUGCACCAAAAAAUCAUAAAUUAAAAGUUGAUGGGCUACGGAAAAUUUCAGGCCAAUAAAAGCAGUGAAUCAAAAGUUAUUGCAGUUUAAAGUUGAAAAAAAUACCUGAGUAUCCGGUUGCCAACUUAAAGGUUAAAGAGCAAUAAAUAGAGGAAUUUGAACGUUGCGGGGCUUCGGCUUUGGACGAAGCUAAAAAAGUGUUAGCCACUGCGCUAAGUGAUAUGGUUUCCUCGAGCAAUAGGCUAAACCCAUACCACUCUACUUGCACCCACAACAUUACUACGCGAACCAUGACUCACCGCACACACAACAAGACCUCUCCAACACAUCGAAGCGUACCCUACUAGCAAUGAGAAUGUAAAAGUGUGCGUCUUUCAGGCGAGGGGCAUGUAGAAGCCGGGGGAGACGGUUGGAAAUACGCGGAAUUACGCGGCGGCGAGAGCGUGUUUUGCUUUCUACACAGUUUUCGCACUCACACAAUCACACAUGUGUGAAUGUGUGCGUUCACUUUCAGCCAGCGCGCUCAGUUUGGUUUUCUCGCAGCGGCUUGCUGGUGUCGGUGUCUCGCUCGCACUAGUGCAGCGAGUGUUCCUCGUGCGUUCCCUUUCUUGCUACCACACAAAAUCGUCAGUACAGUUCAAGCCUUCGCAGUGUGAGGCCGCGCGCGUUUUAGCCUAAGUCCCGGGCGCUCGAUUAUUCAACAAACACAACAUACAGGCAGUAAGGCGGGUGCUUGAAGUGACGAUUUUUUUUAAAUAUUUAUAAUAAAAAAUAUGUGUGGUUUUGUGGCAAGAUUGUGGUUAGCGAUGUGUGGAACUGUGCCUUAAGUUUCAAUAAAGUGUUAAAAUAUCAAACGAGUUUGAUGUAAUUAAAUUUA
Molecule: long non-coding RNA, 1305 nt
Organism: Anopheles coluzzii
Lineage: Eukaryota; Metazoa; Arthropoda; Insecta; Diptera; Culicidae
Exons: 2
Source: RefSeq, a predicted model, not a curated record